UUAUUGGAAACACUAUAGCUUGGCU
RNAcentral lists this non-coding RNA (25 nucleotides) under Mus musculus (house mouse). The record is from RNAcentral. Lineage: Eukaryota; Metazoa; Chordata; Mammalia; Rodentia; Muridae.